GAUCCUGGCUUAGGAUGAACGCUAGCGGGAGGCUAACACAUGCAAGUCGGGGGGCAGCGGGACGUAGCAAUACGUUGCCGGCGACCGGCGCACGGGUGAGUAACGCGUAUGCAACCUACCCACGACAGGGGGAUAACCCGGAGAAAUCCGGACUAAUACCGCGUAAUGGCCGGAGAGGGCAUCCUUUCCGGCCCGAAGCAGCGAUGGCGGUUGUGGAAGGGCAUGCGUGGCAUUAGCUAGACGGUGGGGUAACGGCCCACCGUGGCGACGAUGCCUAGGGGGCCUGAGAGGGUGGUCCCCCACACUGGUACUGAGACACGGACCAGACUCCUGCGGGAGGCAGCAGUGAGGAAUAUUGGUCAAUGGGCGGAAGCCUGAACCAGCCAUCCCGCGUGAGGGAAUAAGGCCCUACGGGUUUUAAACCUCUUUUUCCGGGGACGAUAGUGGCCGACGUGUCGGCCAUGGACGGUACCCGGGGAAUAAGCAUCGGCUAACUCCGUGCCAGCCGCUGC
RNAcentral lists this ribosomal RNA (512 nucleotides) under uncultured bacterium. Its description in RNAcentral is "bacterial SSU rRNA". It matches the Rfam family "Bacterial small subunit ribosomal RNA", at positions 15 to 518 of the family's 1533-position model. The record is from RNAcentral.